This 847-nucleotide long non-coding RNA is filed under the name Coturnix japonica (Japanese quail). RNAcentral's name for it is "lncRNA (ENSCJPG00005003611.1)". The record is from RNAcentral. Lineage: Eukaryota; Metazoa; Chordata; Aves; Galliformes; Phasianidae.
GGUUUGCUCUAAUCCAGUUAGAGAGGGUGAAUCCUUUAUCAUUUCUGAUUGGACUGUGGUAAAAUUUCCACUUCACUGCUUGAGCUUCUAAAUCCAAUUGAAACAACAACAACAACAAAGUCACAAAGAAUCACUAAAUGAAAAUGUUUUCUCGUCAGAGCAGAAGUGUUUAUUUUCCCUAAAACAAAAGCUUAAUUUCAAAGCCAGGUUUUCUGUUCUAGCAUUUAAUGAGCAACUCAAAGCAUUUCAAAAUACCGUGUCUGAAAGAGUCAAAGCAAAUUGCUGUGUCUUUCUUCCAUUCCCGUCCAGAUUUUUGUUUACAAACAAUGUGUGAAACCUAAUGGAGCAUGAUUUAUGUUUGGUAUUUCUUACAGGCUUUGAACUAGGUGCUUGGGAUCUCAGUUCUCUGCUGUGUGAAAUGAAAUCCCACAAGUGCUUCUUCAGUGCCAGAAAUGGGAGCUUGGAGGAUGUCUGAAAUCCAGACCCAUUUGGAGGUGGAACAAUACAAAUGCAGACAUGGAUCCCCAAAUCCUCAGUGAUGUUCUAGCCAUCCAACUGUUUGAUACCUUCUGACCCCUAGCACCUGACGAUGCUCAACAUCCAGGAUGCUGCAUUCCAGAGGGUUUAUCUCCUAUUUUCCUCUGUUCCAAACUGUACUGAGCAGCAGCAGAGCUUGGAACCUGGAGCAAGAACUGUCGCUUUGAUAAUAAAGCUGAGUUAUCAGGAGGAGAGAUUUGUGUUCUGCACGGAAUGUCUGAUGUGGUGAUUUAUUUCUGUUCUCCCCACAGCGUCUUACAGAUUGCUAUCAGAAGCCAUUCAAAUAAAUAAAGAAGUAAAUAAAUAAACA